CUGUCAAUGAAUAAAAAUAAAAUAUUUUAAAAAAUUGGUUUCAAGCAGGAUCCUAAUGAAAUGUCUUUCUAUGGUCUAUUGGCCAUUUCAGAAAUUUGGAAAUGCAAUGGUCAAUUCAUUAGACAGAAACACCU
Jaculus jaculus (lesser Egyptian jerboa) is the source of this 134-nucleotide small nucleolar RNA. NCBI's taxonomy places the organism in Eukaryota, Metazoa, Chordata, Mammalia, Rodentia, Dipodidae. The record is from RefSeq and is a predicted model, not a curated record.